UGGACCAAUGAUGACCACUGGUGGCGUAUGAGUCGUAGACCAUGACUACUGUGUGUCUGGAACUCUGAGGUCCAA
Suricata suricatta (meerkat) is the source of this 75-nucleotide small nucleolar RNA. Lineage: Eukaryota; Metazoa; Chordata; Mammalia; Carnivora; Herpestidae. The record is from Ensembl.